RNAcentral lists this ribosomal RNA (492 nucleotides) under uncultured bacterium. RNAcentral's name for it is "partial 16S ribosomal RNA". It matches the Rfam family "Bacterial small subunit ribosomal RNA", at positions 29 to 507 of the family's 1533-position model. The record is from RNAcentral.
AGUGAACGCUGGCGGUAGGCCUAACACAUGCAAGUCGAACGGCAGCACAGUAAGAGCUUGCUCUUACGGGUGGCGAGUGGCGGACGGGUGAGGAAUACAUCGGAAUCUACUUUUUCGUGGGGGAUAACGUAGGGAAACUUACGCUAAUACCGCAUACGACCUACGGGUGAAAGCAGUGGAUCUUCGGACCUUGCGCGAUUGAAUGAGCCGAUGUCGGACUAGCUAGUUGGCGGGGUAAAGGCCCACCAAGGCGACGAUCCGUAGCUGGUCUGAGAGGAUGAACAGCCACACUGGAACUGAGACACGGUCCAGACUCCUACGGGCGGCAGCAGUGGGGAAUAUUGGACAAUGGGCGAAAGCCUGAUACAGCCAUACCGCGUGGGUGAAGAAGGCCUUCGGGUUGUAAAGCCCUUUUGUUGGGAAAGAAAAGCAGCGGGUUAAUACCCCGCUGUUCUGACGGUACCCAAAGAAUAAGCACCGGCUAACUUCGUG